RNAcentral lists this ribosomal RNA (587 nucleotides) under Legionella pneumophila. RNAcentral's name for it is "partial 23S ribosomal RNA". It matches the Rfam family "Bacterial large subunit ribosomal RNA", at positions 1 to 631 of the family's 2925-position model. Lineage: Bacteria; Pseudomonadati; Pseudomonadota; Gammaproteobacteria; Legionellales; Legionellaceae. The record is from RNAcentral.
AGAGAAGCGCAAACGGUGGAUGCCUUGGCAGUAAGAGGCGAAGAAGGACGUGGAAUCCUGCGAAAAGCUAUGGGGAGCUGGAAACGAGCGUUGAGCCAUAGAUGUCCGAAUGGGGGAACCCGGCUGCAGCGAUGCGGUCAUUUGCAUUUGAAUACAUAGGAUGCAAAGGCGAACUCGGGGAACUGAAACAUCUAAGUACCCGAAGGAAAAGAAAUCAAGAGAGAUUCUCCAAGUAGCGGCGAGCGAACGGGGAGGAGCCUGGCGUGAUUUAUUAUUGAACUGAGUAGAACAAUUUGGGAAAGUUGGCGAUAGAGGGUGAAAGCCCCGUAUACGAAGGUUUGAUGAGGAACUAGGCACGCGAACAAGUAGGCCGGGACACGUGAAAUCCUGGUUGAAGAUGGGUGGACCAUCAUCCAAGGCUAAAUACUACUUACUGACCGAUAGUGAACUAGUACCGUGAGGGAAAGGUGAAAAGAACCCCGGAGAGGGGAGUGAAAUAGAAUCUGAAACCGUUUGCGUACAAGCAGUGGGAGCAUGGUUUAGGCUGUGUGACUGCGUACCUUUUGUAUAAUGGGUCAGCGAGUUAC